GCUGACGAGUGGCGGACGGGUGAGUAAUGUCUGGGAAACUGCCUGAUGGAGGGGGAUAACUACUGGAAACGGUGGCUAAUACCGCAUAAUGUCGCAAGACCAAAGAGGGGGACCUUCGGGCCUCUUGCCAUCAGAUGUGCCCAGAUGGGAUUAGCUUGUUGGUGAGGUAACGGCUCACCAAGGCGACGAUCCCUAGCUGGUCUGAGAGGAUGACCAGCCACACUGGAACUGAGACACGGUCCAGACUCCUACGGGAGGCAGCAGUGGGGAAUAUUGCACAAUGGGCGCAAGCCUGAUGCAGCCAUGCCGCGUGUAUGAAGAAGGCCUUCGGGUUGUAAAGUACUUUCAGCGGGGAGGAAGGUGUUGUGGUUAAUAACCACAGCAAUUGACGUUACCCGCAGAAGAAGCACCGGCUAACUCCGUGCCAGCAGCCGCGGUAAUACGGAGGGUGCAAGCGUUAAUCGGAAUUACUGGGCGUAAAGCGCACGCAGGCGGUCUGUCAAGUCGGAUGUGAAAUCCCCGGGCUCAACCUGGGAACUGCAUUCGAAACUGGCAGGCUUGAGUCUUGUAGAGGGGGGUAGAAUUCCAGGUGUAGCGGUGAAAUGCGUAGAGAUCUGGAGGAAUACCGGUGGCGAAGGCGGCCCCCUGGACAAAGACUGACGCUCAGGUGCGAAAGCGUGGGGAGCAAACAGGAUUAGAUACCCUGGUAGUCCACGCCGUAAACGAUGUCUACUUGGAGGUUGUGCCCUUGAGGCGUGGCUUCCGGAGCUAACGCGUUAAGUAGACCGCCUGGGGAGUACGGCCGCAAGGUUAAAACUCAAAUGAAUUGACGGGGGCCCGCACAAGCGGUGGAGCAUGUGGUUUAAUUCGAUGCAACGCGAAGAACCUUACCUGGUCUUGACAUCCACAGAACUUUCCAGAGAUGGAUUGGUGCCUUCGGGAACUGUGAGACAGGUGCUGCAUGGCUGUCGUCAGCUCGUGUUGUGAAAUGUUGGGUUAAGUCCCGCAACGAGCGCAACCCUUAUCCUUUGUUGCCAGCGGUCCGGCCGGGAACUCAAAGGAGACUGCCAGUGAUAAACUGGAGGAAGGUGGGGAUGACGUCAAGUCAUCAUGGCCCUUACGACCAGGGCUACACACGUGCUACAAUGGCGCAUACAAAGAGAAGCGACCUCGCGAGAGCAAGCGGACCUCAUAAAGUGCGUCGUAGUCCGGAUUGGAGUCUGCAACUCGACUCCAUGAAGUCGGAAUCGCUAGUAAUCGUGGAUCAGAAUGCCACGGUGAAUACGUUCCCGGGCCUUGUACACACCGCCCGUCACACCAUGGGAGUGGGUUGCAAAAGAAGUAGGUAGCUUAACCUUCGGGAGGGCGCUUACCACUUUGUGAUUCAUGACUGGGGUGAAGUCGUAACAAGGUAACCGUAGGGGAACCUGCGGUUG
Molecule: ribosomal RNA, 1436 nt
Filed under: Salmonella enterica subsp. enterica serovar Mississippi
Lineage: Bacteria; Pseudomonadati; Pseudomonadota; Gammaproteobacteria; Enterobacterales; Enterobacteriaceae
Description: bacterial SSU rRNA
Rfam family: Bacterial small subunit ribosomal RNA
Source: RNAcentral